GUCUAUGGCCAUGCCACCAUGAACAAGCCCGAUGUCUGAUCUCGGAAGCUAAGCAGGGUCGGGCCUGGUUAGUACUUGGAUGAGAGACCACCUAGGAAGACCAGGUGCUGUAGGCA
Molecule: ribosomal RNA, 116 nt
Filed under: Pteropus alecto (black flying fox)
Lineage: Eukaryota; Metazoa; Chordata; Mammalia; Chiroptera; Pteropodidae
Source: RNAcentral